This 281-nucleotide ribosomal RNA is filed under the name Francisella tularensis subsp. holarctica. RNAcentral describes it as "partial 23S ribosomal RNA". It matches the Rfam family "Bacterial large subunit ribosomal RNA", at positions 2459 to 2739 of the family's 2925-position model. The record is from RNAcentral. Lineage: Bacteria; Pseudomonadati; Pseudomonadota; Gammaproteobacteria; Thiotrichales; Francisellaceae.
AACGGUACUCCGGGGAUAACAGGCUAAUUCCUCCCAAGAGUUCAUCUCGACGGAGGAGUUUGGCACCUCGAUGUCGGCACAUCACAUCCUGGGGCUGAAGUAGGUCCCAAGGGUAUGGCUGUUCGCCAUUUAAAUUGGUACGCGAGCUGGGUUCAGAACGUCGUGAGACAGUUCGGUCCCUAUCUGACGUGGGCGUUAGAGAUUUGAGAAGAGUUGCUCCUAGUACGAGAGGACCGGAGUCAACGAACCACUGGCGUUCCGGUUGAUUCGCCAGAAGCAUU